GAUGAACGCUGGCGGCGUGCCUAAUACAUGCAAGUCGAACGGUUCGGGGAAACCCGGAUAGUGGCGCACGGGUGAGUAACGCGUGGGUGACCUGCCCCGAAGGGGGGGAUACCAGCUCGAAAGGGCUGCCAAUACCCCAUACGCAUCUGGUAGUUAGAGAGCCAGAUGGAAAGGUGCAAAUCGCUUCGGGAGGGGCCUGCGUCCCAUCAGCUAGUUGGUAGGGUAAGAGCCUACCAAGGCGAUGACGGGUAGGGGGCCUGAGAGGGUGGCCCCCCACAAUGGAACUGAAACACGGUCCAUACACCUACGGGUGGCAGCAGUAGGGAAUAUUGCAGAAUGGGCGCAAGCCUGAUGCAGCAACGCCGCGUGGGCGAUGAAGGCCUUCGGGUCGUAAAGCCCUUUUCGACGGGACGAGGAAGGACGGUACCGUUGGAAUCAGCCUCGGCUAACUACGUGCCAGCAGCCGCGGUAAAACGUAGGAGGCGAGCGUUAUCCGGAUUUACUGGGCGUAAAGCGCGUGCAGGCGGUAUGGUAAGUUGGCUGUGAAAGCUCUCGGCUCAACCGGGAGAGGUCGGUCAAGACUGCCGUACUAGAGAGUGGUAGAGGAAGAUGGAAUUCCGGGUGUAGUGGUGAAAUGCGUAGAUAUCCGGAGGAACACCAGUGGCGAAAGCGGUCUUCUGGACCAACUCUGACGCUCAGACGCGAAAGCUAGGGGAGCGAACGGGAUUAGAGACCCCGGUAGUCCUAGCUGUAAACGAUGUAGACUGGGCGUUGGCGGGUUUAAAUCCGUCAGUGCCGAAGCAAACGCGAUAAGUCUACCGCCUGGGGACUACGGCCGCAAGGUUA
RNAcentral lists this ribosomal RNA (846 nucleotides) under uncultured bacterium. Its description in RNAcentral is "bacterial SSU rRNA". It matches the Rfam family "Bacterial small subunit ribosomal RNA", at positions 28 to 896 of the family's 1533-position model. The record is from RNAcentral.